Molecule: microRNA precursor, 83 nt
Filed under: Bombyx mori (domestic silkworm)
Lineage: Eukaryota; Metazoa; Arthropoda; Insecta; Lepidoptera; Bombycidae
Description: mir-2807 microRNA precursor family
Rfam family: mir-2807 microRNA precursor family
Source: Rfam by way of RNAcentral
UUAACUCAAUUUUUUAUGGAAUUGGAACGUUUGCCUACGUUGGACGUUAGGGGCGCUGUUCUAACUGCAUACAAUUUGAGUUA